UAGGCUCGCAGGGCAGCCCGCGGCCGCCGGGAGGGAGCGGCCCCGCCGAGGGCGGCCAUCUUUACUAGUGGCAGCGAGGGCCGCUCCGGACGCCGCGGGUUUGUUCACGGCGCUCUCUGAGCGGCAGAAAAAAGGCUGCGCGGCAGAAGUUUUGUUGGGGGUUCCCCUUUUUUUUACUUGGCGGUGGGUUGUGUUGUUUGUGCGUAGAUCCCGGGGAUGUGGCGGGGAUAGAACUCGCGGGCUGGCGGCUGGGAGCUCAGGGAGCUGAGUGGCCGCCCUGGGACGAGGGGGGUCUCACAGGGGUUUUAGCUGCCGCUUCCGUCAGACCGCUCGGUUUGCUUUCUCUCACCGGGCGCGGGGAGGGCGAAUGGAUUCCCCUUAAAUUUUAGGAGCAAACGUGAGAUUUGCUUCCCGGGCGUCUUGCUGGCGCCGGAAAGCGGUUCUGGAACGCUCUCCCGCAUACGUCAUGGUUGCGCUCGCGGCGCGCGGUCCCACCCGCACGGAAUGCGGGGUUUUUUGUUUUGUUUUUAACUCUCAAUCAAACAGCCGUCUUGGAAGCUGUUUAUCGCUCCAGAAACAGUGGCCUGCAGGGGCAAACCUGAGCUUGCCUGACAGACAUGCUCCGAGAUGUUGGCUGAAAAAAAUGUUUUUGAUCAUAUCAGCUCAUUUGCCUUUUUAGGCAACUUCUGUUUGGGUGUGCAUCCGGUUUUCAGGCGUCUCUGACGUCCACCCCCCCAAAAAGAGAAAAACUCCUCUUAUCUUUGUAGCAAAAGUGGCCGUCGCUCAGGACUCGCCCUCUCUGCCGGGGACACGGCUGUAAAGAAUAAAAGAACAUGUUCCCUGCAUAGGUUAGAGAGAGGAACACGGAGAAGCCAUGGCUGCCUUGGUUGGGCGGGAGGCGACGUCCUGGUUGGUUUUAUUUGAGCUGCGUAGGUGCAAGUGCGGUGGAUUGUGGCUUACCCAAAGGUGAAUGCUGGCGCUGCCUCGGCGUGGGCGUUGCCAUGGCUACAGGGCUAGGUGGUUGGUAACAACCCAUCACUGGCACCCUAAAAGGAACACUCCAUUUUAUUGUGUGUCGGUACCCUGUCCGUGGACAUUGCAAAAGAAAGGAAACUGCAGUUUUGCAUAAUCUCCAUAUAGCAACAGCCGCUCGUGCUUCUGUGGAACACACGGUGUUCUUUGGCAGCCGCGGUGCUCGGAGCCGGCACUUUGCUUGCUGUGCGCAGUAGGCAGAGCAGAGGACCGAGCUUUCCCAGAGCCUGGGUUCCUUCGGUCGCACAGCCUGCUGGAGAAGGUUGCAUGAGAUGGCAUUUCUGAGCCACGCUAGCACUGAGCUACCUUCAAGCCUUUCCUGAAAGCAUAGGCACCCAAGGCUGCUCGAAGGUCAAGGACUUGGCUGCUGGCUGCAUCAUAAGACCUCUGAAUCUCCGGCCUUUUCCUCCCAUUCUUUGCCAGUGCUCACUACAUUUACAAGGGAGUCUGGAGGACAGGAAUCCCCACGCCCACAGCUGGGCAACAAGGUCAAGGGUGUCAAAAUCCAGGCCCAGAAAAGCAGCAAAACCAGGUGGGCAACACCAGGACCAGCUGCAAUGACUAAGGCGCUGACCAAUCCCUAGAGACCAUGACCCUGAAAGGGCACACCUGGAAAACUGAUGAGUAUUCUGCUGAAACCCUCCCUGAGACCGCCCCUAAGAUUCCCGCCUGCAAGAGACAGGCUGGACACACCCUGGCAGAACCAACCCAUGGGGAUGCUGCUCUUUGAUCUGCCCCUUCACACACUUCUUUCAGAGAUGAUGGCAAUUCAUCUUCACUCCUGAUGCUAUCACCUGGAGUUGGCACAGACUCAUGGGUUAAGGGCACGGUCCCUCAUAAGACUGCUCUCAGUUCAGAUGCCAGGCACAAGUUCAGAGAUCCCCAGGCUACCCACACUUCUGACCAACUGGCUACAAAUUUGGUCAGUUACCUAAGUGCCCGGGUUGAGCGUCCUUGAACACACCUUGCUGUUGUAGACCCUGCACAUGCUAUUCCCUCUGCCUACCUUUGUUUUCUCAACAAUCACUCGUGGAUUUUCUGAACCCCAAAUGCGACAAUUUUGUCGAUUAACCAAGCCAUCAAGAUGAAAAUAAGCCUCAUCGAAAU
Molecule: long non-coding RNA, 2139 nt
Organism: Myotis myotis
Lineage: Eukaryota; Metazoa; Chordata; Mammalia; Chiroptera; Vespertilionidae
Exons: 7
Source: RefSeq, a predicted model, not a curated record